Molecule: non-coding RNA, 244 nt
Filed under: Hominimerdicola alba
Lineage: Bacteria; Bacillati; Bacillota; Clostridia; Eubacteriales; Oscillospiraceae
Description: Ruminococcus albus T-box sequence
Rfam family: T-box leader
About the family: Uncharged tRNA acts as the effector for transcription antitermination of genes in the T-box leader family. T-boxes are found upstream of many aminoacyl-tRNA synthetase genes and some amino acid biosynthetic genes usually in Gram-positive bacteria. The anticodon of a specific tRNA base pairs to a specifier sequence within the T-box motif, and the NCCA acceptor tail of the tRNA base pairs to a conserved bulge in the T-box antiterminator hairpin.
Source: RNAcentral
UCAAACGCUAUGACUGGGAGAAGUAACACAGGUAUUUCACUCACAGAGAGCGCGGAAGAGGUGUGAGCCGCGCAGCAGAGCCUUUGCGAAUAACACCCGCGAGCGGCAGACCGAACGGCGGAAGCUCAGUAGGAAAGACGUGUUCCUCACGUUAUGAGGAUAAGAGUGACAACGCUCGGAUAAUGCUUUUGAGCGAUUUGUAAUUCAGGUGGUACCGCGAUGGCUUACAGCUUUCGUCCUGUUU